RNAcentral lists this ribosomal RNA (253 nucleotides) under uncultured bacterium. RNAcentral's name for it is "partial 16S ribosomal RNA". It matches the Rfam family "Bacterial small subunit ribosomal RNA", at positions 524 to 776 of the family's 1533-position model. The record is from RNAcentral.
UACGGAGGAUGCAAGCGUUAUCCGGAAUGAUUGGGCGUAAAGCGUCCGCAGGUGGCUGUGUAAGUCUGCUGUUAAAGAGUGAGGCUCAACCUCAUAAAGGCAGUGGAAACUACAUGGCUAGAGUGCGUUCGGGGCAGAGGGAAUUCCUGGUGUAGCGGUGAAAUGCGUAGAGAUCAGGAAGAACACCGGUGGCGAAAGCGCUCUGCUAGGCCGCAACUGACACUGAGGGACGAAAGCUAGGGGAGCGAAUGGG